UGGUUAACAGAGGGAAGCAAGACCGCGAGGUGGAGCAAAUCCCUAAAAGCCAUCCCAGUUCGGAUUGCAGGCUGCAACCCGCCUGUAUGAAGUUGGAAUCGCUAGUAAUCGCGGAUCAGCAUGCCGCGGUGAAUACGUUCCCGGGCCUUGUACACACCGCCCGUCACACCAUGAGAGUCGGGAACACCCGAAGUCCGUAGCCUAACCGCAAGGGGGGCGCGGCCGAAGGUGGGUUCGAUAAUUGGGGUGAAGUCGUAACAAGGUAUC
Molecule: ribosomal RNA, 267 nt
Filed under: uncultured bacterium
Lineage: Bacteria
Description: partial 16S ribosomal RNA
Rfam family: Bacterial small subunit ribosomal RNA
Source: RNAcentral